GAUCAUGGCUCAGGACGAACGCUGGCGGCGUGCCUAAUACAUGCAAGUAGAACGCUGAAGGAGGAGCUUGCUUCUCCGGAUGAGUUGCGAACGGGUGAGUAACGCGUAGGUAACCUGCCUGGUAGCGGGGGUAUAACUAUUGGAAACGAUAGCUAAAUACCGCAUAACAGUAGAUGUUGCAUGACAUUUGCUUAAAAGGUGCAAUUGCACCACUACCAGAUGGACCUGCGUUGUA
This 235-nucleotide ribosomal RNA is filed under the name uncultured bacterium. Its description in RNAcentral is "partial 16S ribosomal RNA". It matches the Rfam family "Bacterial small subunit ribosomal RNA", at positions 15 to 240 of the family's 1533-position model. The record is from RNAcentral.